This 1271-nucleotide ribosomal RNA is filed under the name uncultured bacterium. Its description in RNAcentral is "partial 16S ribosomal RNA". It matches the Rfam family "Bacterial small subunit ribosomal RNA", at positions 45 to 1386 of the family's 1533-position model. The record is from RNAcentral.
UGCUUAACACAUGCAAGUCGAACGAACCUUCGGGUUAGUGGCGGACGGGUGAGUAACGCGUGUUAAUCUGCCCUCAGGAGGGGGAUAACGGUUGGAAACGACCGCUAAUACCCCAUAUGCCGAGAGGUGAAACGAAAUUCGCCUGAGGAUGAGCCCGCGUCUGAUUAGCUAGUUGGUGGGGUAAAGGCCUACCAAGGCAUCGAUCAGUAGCUGGUCUGAGAGGAUGAUCAGCCACACUGGGACUGAGACACGGCCCACACUCCUACGGGAGGCAGCAGUGGGGAAUUUUCCGCAGUGGGCGCAAGCCUGACGGAGCAACGCCGCGUGAGGGAUGAAGGCCUCUGGGCUGUAAACCUCUUUUCUCAAGGAAGAAGAACUGACGGUACUUGAGGAAUAAGCCACGGCUAAUUCCGUGCCAGCAGCCGCGGUAAUACGGGAGUGGCAAGCGUUAUCCGGAAUUAUUGGGCGUAAAGCGUCCGCAGGCGGCCUUGAAAGUCUGUCGUAAAAGCGUGAAGCUUAACUCCAUUUCGGCGGUGAAAACUACAAGGCUUGAGUGGGGGAGGGGGAGAGGGAACUUCCGGUGAAGCGAUGGAAAUGCACAGAUUUCGGGNNGNNCCCCCGUGGCGNNNGCGCUCUUCUGGCCCAUAACUGAACACUGAGAGAUGACAGCGAGGGAGGGCCUUGGAUUAGAUUCCUUGGUAGUCUCAGCCCUAAAUGGGGAUACUAGAUGUUGCCACAAGCAGCGUCGAAGCUAACGCGUUAAGUAUCCCACCUGGGGAGUACGUACGCAAGUAUGAAACUCAAAGGAAUUGACGGGAAUUGACACAAGUGGUGGAUUAUGUGGUUUAAUUUGAUGCAACGCGGAGAACCUUACCAGGGAUUGACAUGGUGAGAAUCUUUCCGAAGGGGAAGAGUGCCCUUUGGGGAACUCACACACAGGUGGUGCAUGGCUGUCGUCAGCUCGUGCCGUGAGGUGUUUGGUUAAGUCCAAUAACGAGCGCAACCCUUGUUUGCUGUUAAAUGUCUGCAAAGACUGCCAGUGUAAACUGGAGGAAGGAAAGGAUGACGUCAAGUCAGCAUGCCCCUUACGUCCUGGGCUACACACGUAAUACAAUGGGUGAGACAAUCAGAAGCGAUCUCGCGAGAGCUAGCGAAUCUGCUAAACUCAUCCUCAGUUCGGAUUGUAGGCUGCAACUCGCCUACAUGAAGCCGGAAUCACUAGUAAUCGCCAGUCAGCUAUAUGGCGGUGAAUACGUUCCUCAAUUUUGCAC